Molecule: transfer RNA, 37 nt
Filed under: Equus sp.
Lineage: Eukaryota; Metazoa; Chordata; Mammalia; Perissodactyla; Equidae
Description: partial tRNA-Val
Source: RNAcentral
UACACCUAGAAGAUUUCACUCAAAAUGAACACUUUGA